UACGUAGGUGGCGAGCGUUAUCCGGAAUGAUUGGGCGUAAAGGGUGCGUAGGCGGCCUGCUAAGUCUGGAGUGAAAGGUACCGGCUCAACCGGUACAGGCUCUGGAAACUGGCGGGCUAGAGAGCAGGAGAGGGCGGUGGAACUCCAUGUGUAGCGGUGAAAUGCAUAGAUAUCACGCAGAACUCCGAUUGCGAAGGCAGCGUACCGGCAUCCAACUGACGCUGAGGCACGAAAGCGUGGGGAUCAAACAGG
RNAcentral lists this ribosomal RNA (252 nucleotides) under uncultured bacterium. Its description in RNAcentral is "partial 16S ribosomal RNA". It matches the Rfam family "Bacterial small subunit ribosomal RNA", at positions 524 to 776 of the family's 1533-position model. The record is from RNAcentral.